GGCGAGCGCGGGGCGGUGCGGGCGGGGGCCAGAGCCGAGCCGCAGCCCGAGCCGGAGCCGCAGCCGGAGCCGGAGCCUGGCUGUCCGGGCGGCCGCUGGAGCUCGCAGCGCGCCGGGGCUGGGACCGGCCUGGCCGAGCGCGCCGGCGCCGCGACCGCAGACAAAGGCGCCGCUCGCGCCCGGGCCGCCGCGCUCUCGGGCUCUGCUUUGGGUGGCUUGGAGGGUCUACAUAUGAGCCUGGUGGUGAGCUGAGACCUUCUCCAGGCAGCCCCCGGCCCAGACCCACUGACGGCCCUCAUUCCCGGCACACGAGAGCUCUGGGUCACAAGAAGAAGACGGAACCUGGGGAGUGCUGCACGCAGCAGGAGGGGCGGCUGGGCAGUGCAGAGCCUGGAAUCCCCUGAGCAAGCAGUGUUUCAGCUGGCUGGACAGAUCAAAUAACACUUGGGCUGGUUAACAAAGGACACGCAAGUGGGAAGGUGUUGGAAGCUGGAGUGUGGAAAUUUACCCAACGUUAUUCCUUUGACAGGAAAGGAGACAUGGUCUGAAAGAUGCCGCAUUCCUGCAGCCUCUCUGAGUCCAGCAGCACACAGUCUUGGGGAAGGUGGCGUGGAGGAGGGGGUGACAGAGGACGCUGCCCCAUCUGAAGCCUCUGGAGGAUCCUGGCUUGGCAGCUGAGUGCCCCUCAGCGCUGGGACUUGAGGUGUAACUUGGUGUAGAGCUCAAGAAAGGUGGUUGGGUUUCUCUGGCUUUCUUCACCAGUGCUCACCAGCCUGGUUUGGGUUGCAGAAUCUAAGGGGAGCUGGUAGAAAGCGGAGCCGGCAGAAGUAGAAAGAAGCCCCUGGAAGCCUCCAGAAUCCAUUGCUGGGAUCACUUCACCCUGCUCAGGACACAGAGAAUAGCUGCCGAGCUGCUGGACGCUGUGACAGAACCGAGCUCUGGACCAUCGUAAGUCAAGGAGCACAGCUCAGCAACAGCUCCACACUUCAGCCGGAAGGGGCGUCUUUUAACAAAAGCUUCAAAGAAGAGAGUUUCUGCGUCUUUUACCUUGAGGUCCAUUAUGGUAGAAAACUUCACACUCACAUAGAUAAUAGGACUGGUUUUUCUCUCCAAGACGCUACCUUUGAAAAGAGCAUGAGCCAUUCUAAGCUUCGAGGAGAGUUCAGGGUCCAGAGGAGUCCAGCCCUCCCAACGCAGGUUAAGAAAAUAGUCUGAGCCUUCGCCUUCCACAGCUCGGCAAGCGUGGACAUAUGCCACCCCUUUCUCCAGAGAGCUGGUGGCAGUGACAUCACCACGAGAAAAAGGAGCCCUCAGCUCUGGGACUCGACAGAAUGAGGUGUGCUGGGGAAGCCGCUACCCAGGACGUGGCCGCCGUUGACUGCCCCUCCAUCGCCCGGGCAGA
This 1402-nucleotide long non-coding RNA is filed under the name Zalophus californianus (California sea lion). RNAcentral describes it as "lncRNA (ENSZCAG00015024633.1)". The record is from RNAcentral. Lineage: Eukaryota; Metazoa; Chordata; Mammalia; Carnivora; Otariidae.